Molecule: long non-coding RNA, 1071 nt
Organism: Apis cerana (Asiatic honeybee)
Lineage: Eukaryota; Metazoa; Arthropoda; Insecta; Hymenoptera; Apidae
Source: RefSeq, a predicted model, not a curated record
GGUGGAGGUUCAGGAGGCGGCGUUGGUAGGGGCCGAGGAUAAAACCAGAACCUACGAAAGGUGAGGCGAUUCGAACUUCCUCUCGUUCGGGGCACGCGGACUUUCUUCGUCAAUCGGCGAGAAAGAGUCGAAGUCGAAGAAUUGAUCGAGUGUGGCAGAGACCGGAUUUGCAUCGAGUUCGCGGCUGAUUGCUCGUAAUUAGCGACGCGUGGCCCGCGCCCACGUCGGGUCACAUCGCCAUGGCAGACGAGGAGGACGAUCCUUGCUAACGAACCGUGCACAGAGGUCGUUCGUGCGCCACGCGCAAUGUACGAUACCUACGCAUCCACGUACACGCGUGCAAACGAUCAACGCGAUUCAUUCCGUGCCCGAUGUCUCUCGAUACACGCUGACUUUGCGAAAGUUGGACAGAUUUGCGAUACUGGCGGCCGAAUGGACGAUGAAAAUUUCUUGAAGACGGGGAAAAAAGCGUUUUGUUAUGGGUAUUGAGCUUUUGCCUUUAGUAGGUGAGGCGUCUAUGUUUAUGGAGAUAUUUAUUUGAGGUUAUGUUGUCGGGAUCGUAUCCGUGAUUGUAAUUUGAGAGGAUUAUAAAAUGUGGGCUUUGGAUAUGAAAUUUUUAAUAGAAUCGACUAAUUUAAUAGAAUUGGCUUAAAUAAAAUAUUGAAGCCAGGUCAGAUUAUUCUAAUACGUAUAUAACUUUUCGUAUAUAUUUCCAGAUAUAUUUGUGUAAUAAAUUCUCAUUUUAAUAUUCUAAUGGUAAAAACAAGAUACUCGAUAUUUUAUAUUUCGUUCUUCAAUUUCAAGAAUAAUCGAAUGAAUUAUAUUAGAAACAAAUAAUCGUAAAGACAUUAUUUUAAGAAUUGAGAAGGAAGGGGAAAUAUUUUUAUCAGAGAAAUUAAAAAGAGAAACAGAUAUUCGAUCGAUAACGUUUCGAAUGAUAGAAAUUAAUAUUUGGUCUGUGAAAAUUACUCGUCUCUGGUGAAUUUUUCUUUAUGCACUUCGUUAUACCGAUAUCUAAUAGCAAUUUGUCCGGGCAAAAGUUGAAAAAAAUAAAUGUGAUAUUUCAUCGAA